RNAcentral lists this unclassified non-coding RNA (368 nucleotides) under soil metagenome. RNAcentral's name for it is "partial contains 5.8S ribosomal RNA, internal transcribed spacer 2, and large subunit ribosomal RNA". The stretch from base 2 to 119 matches the Rfam family "5.8S ribosomal RNA", at positions 37 to 154 of the family's 154-position model. The record is from RNAcentral.
GUGAAGAACGUAGCGAAAUGCGAUAAGUAAUGUGAAUUGCAGAAUUCAGUGAAUCAUCGAAUCUUUGAACGCACAUUGCGCCCGCCAGUAUUCUGGCGGGCAUGCCUGUUCGAGCGUCAUUUCAACCCUCAAGCCCUGCUUGGUGUUGGGGAUCGGCGUUGCCUCCUCCGUCGUUCGCGGCGGGGUGAGGUCGCCGCCCCCGAAAUGAAUUGGCGGUCUCGUCGCAGCUUUCCUUUGCGUAGUAACAUACCACCUCGCAACCAGGAGCGCGGCGCGGCCACUGCCGUAAAACGCCCAACUUUUUCAAGAGUUGACCUCGAAUCAGGUAGGAAUACCCGCUGAACUUAAGCAUAUCAAUAAGCGGAGGA